Molecule: ribosomal RNA, 850 nt
Filed under: Escherichia coli
Lineage: Bacteria; Pseudomonadati; Pseudomonadota; Gammaproteobacteria; Enterobacterales; Enterobacteriaceae
Description: bacterial SSU rRNA
Rfam family: Bacterial small subunit ribosomal RNA
Source: RNAcentral
GUAGAAGGGGGGGUAGAAUUUCCAGGUGUAGCGGUGAAAUGCGUAGAGAUCUGGAGGAAUACCCGGUGGCGAAGGCGGCCCCGUGGACGAAGACUGACGCUCAGGUGCGAAAGCGUGGGGAGCAAACAGGAUUAGAUACCUGGUAGUCCACGCCGUAAACGAUGUCGACUUGGAGGUUGUGCCCUUGAGGCGUGGCUUCCGGAGCUAACGCGUUAAGUCGACCGCCUGGGGAGUACGGCCGCAAGGUUAAAACUCAAAUGAAUUGACGGGGGCCCGCACAAGCGGUGGAGCAUGUGGUUUAAUUCGAUGCAACGCGAAGAACCUUACCUGGUCUUGACAUCCACGGAAGUUUUCAGAGAUGAGAAUGUGCCUUCGGGAACCGUGAGACAGGUGCUGCAUGGCUGUCGUCAGCUCGUGUUGUGAAAUGUUGGGUUAAGUCCCGCAACGAGCGCAACCCUUAUCCUUUGUUGCCAGCGGUCCGGCCGGGAACUCAAAGGAGACUGCCAGUGAUAAACUGGAGGAAGGUGGGGAUGACGUCAAGUCAUCAUGGCCCUUACGACCAGGGCUACACACGUGCUACAAUGGCGCAUACAAAGAGAAGCGACCUCGCGAGAGCAAGCGGACCUCAUAAAGUGCGUCGUAGUCCGGAUUGGAGUCUGCAACUCGACUCCAUGAAGUCGGAAUCGCUAGUAAUCGUGGAUCAGAAUGCCACGGUGAAUACGUUCCCGGGCCUUGUACACACCGCCCGUCACACCAUGGGAGUGGGUUGCAAAAGAAGUAGGUAGCUUAACCUUCGGGAGGGCGCUUGACCACUUUGUGCAUUCCCUGAACACUGCGGUUUAAAAUAGAG